UGCGAGCUCCUACGGGAGGCAGCAGUGGGGAAUCUUCCGCAAUGGACGAAAGUCUGACGGAGCAACGCCGCGUGAGUGAUGACGGCCUUCGGGUUGUAAAGCUCUGUUAAUCGGGACGAAAGGUCCUCUUGCGAAUAGUUAGAGGAAUUGACGGUACCGGAAUAGAAAGCCACGGCUAACUACGUGCCAGCAGCCGCGGUAAUACGUAGGUGGCAAGCGUUGUCCGGGAUUAUUGGGCGGAAAGCGCGCGCAGGCGGAUCCGUUAGUCUGUCUUAAAAGUUCGGGGCUGAACCCCGUGAUGGGAUGGAAACUGCUGAUCUAGAGUAUCGGAGAGGAAAGUGGAAUUCCUAGUGUAGCGGUGAAAUGCGUAGAUAUUAGGAAGAACACCAGUGGCGAAGGCGACUUUCUGGACGAAAACUGACGCUGAGGCGCGAAAGCCAGGGGAGCGAACAGGAUUAGAUACCCUUGUAGUCCUAUC
Molecule: ribosomal RNA, 478 nt
Filed under: uncultured bacterium
Lineage: Bacteria
Description: bacterial SSU rRNA
Rfam family: Bacterial small subunit ribosomal RNA
Source: RNAcentral